UACGUAGGAGGCAAGCGUUGUCCGGAAUUACUGGGCGUAAAGCGCGUGUAGGUGGUGGGACAAGUCUGCUGUGAAAGCGCCUGGCUUAACCGGGCGAGGUCGGCGGAAACUGUCCGACUCGGGGACGGUAGAGGGGGGUGGAAUUCCCGGUGUAGUGGUGAAAUGCGUAGAGAUCGGGAGGAACACCUGUGGCGAAGGCGGCCCCCUGGGCCGGCCCUGACACUGAGACGCGAAGGCGUGGGGAGCGAACGGG
RNAcentral lists this ribosomal RNA (253 nucleotides) under uncultured bacterium. RNAcentral's name for it is "partial 16S ribosomal RNA". It matches the Rfam family "Bacterial small subunit ribosomal RNA", at positions 524 to 776 of the family's 1533-position model. The record is from RNAcentral.